CUCUCAAACGUGGGCGAGCUGCUAGGGGACCCGUCCCCCCACUGCCUGGUGCCCGCCAAAGCCUGGGGCAGAGCCCACCACUACCCACGUCUCCGCUCUGGCCGGGCUCUCCCUGCCGCUGCCAUUCGUGCUCUGUCAGAGGAGUCAGAGACGGCAGCCCUGACGUUAUGUCCCCACGGGGACCGCACGGGGUGGUUGGCUAUUAGAAAAAAAGCUUACAAAGGGAAGGAACCGACCAUUUCUGCACCUAACGUGGUUGUGGAAGUUCGACACCAGGGUUGCUCGGCUCAGGCGAGUGUUAGCACCCCGCGCUGCCUGAGCGCUCCUUCCCCUGCUGGGGCAGGGCUCUCCUCUGCACCCCAGGAGAGGACAGGAAACGCGUUAAAACUGAGGCACGAGCAGAGAGGCCUCUUUCCUUCAGCACGCAGCAGGUGCCCCAUCUUCAGCUUUGACGCGCGCAAGUGUCAGGCGCCUUUCAGGGCUCGGUUCUCGGGGCGGACGGAAGGUAACUAGAGCACCACCAUGACUACAACUACAGACAGAGCUGAGCCCAUCUUCGCCAACUGCUAGGAUCAGAACCACAUGGGCAGUUUAACAGGGCUUGGAAGAGGAGAAAAAGGGGAAGACUGGCACUACUAAUAAGGAAAACUAUGAACUUUGAUAGUUUCUUGAAACUUUCUCUGUCCUAGAGCCUGCCGAAACUCUCUGGAGUCCUGUCCUUGUCACUGUGCUGAUUCCAAAUAACAAAGAAUGCAGCUCGGAAAAUGCUUGCCUGGUAGGAAAUGUCUUGUUAGAACAUGAGGCAGCUUUCUCGUGUGCAUUUCUCAUGUCCUGCUACAGGAAGAUCAAAACACUGUUAAGGCUGUGUAUUCAGCUGCAAAAUGUUAAAAAUGCCACUUCCAGCUUAAGACAUACUUUUGAUAUUACAUCUACUGCACAUCUUAAACUGUUAGGCUGCAAUGAAAUUUGUCACCUGUAUUGUACACUUGUAUUAAGUGAGAAUGUGAAAAUUGCGCUACAGUAAUACUAUGUUUGGCAAUUCUUGUAUAUAUAACUGUUACCAGAAUGAUUUUAGAAAUGAAGGCUGUCAAACAUAUCCUGUUGUAAUCUUUUAGGAGACAGAAUGCCGCAUAGGACAGCCAGCCAGCCAGUUUUACUGUCUUAAAACGCUCUCUCAGGUCGUAUUAAAUCAUUUGCAGUGAAUUACUUUGUUAGGUAGAAGAGCUUGUCAGUUCUGAAACUCAGUAUUGUUCUGUCAAGUUAGAGGUACAAAAAAAUUCUGAUUUGUAACUGAAGCCAUAUAUUUUUUUGAAAUGUAGUAGAUGAUCUAAGAGAAGACAGAGUGAAAUGUUUAAAAGUACAAAAGAAGUGCAAUUCUGCCUGUCUAGCUUCCAACUUGAAAAGCCAUCACAGCAUGGCUCAGACUUGUGCAUGAAAUUUGGCAGCUCCGUUCCUCUUUUUGCAUCUGUUUUUGCAUCACUGCAAAAUCUGUGCUUUGGCACCACCUGAGCCA
RNAcentral lists this long non-coding RNA (1513 nucleotides) under Struthio camelus australis. Its description in RNAcentral is "lncRNA (ENSSCUG00000009994.1)". The record is from RNAcentral. Lineage: Eukaryota; Metazoa; Chordata; Aves; Struthioniformes; Struthionidae.